UGAGGUAGUUAAGAAUAAGUG
RNAcentral lists this microRNA (21 nucleotides) under Pristionchus pacificus. Its description in RNAcentral is "ppc-miR-84a". Its record names the gene ppc-miR-84a. The record is from miRBase by way of RNAcentral. Lineage: Eukaryota; Metazoa; Nematoda; Chromadorea; Rhabditida; Neodiplogasteridae.